Molecule: ribosomal RNA, 358 nt
Filed under: uncultured bacterium
Lineage: Bacteria
Description: bacterial SSU rRNA
Rfam family: Bacterial small subunit ribosomal RNA
Source: RNAcentral
AACGAACGCUGGCGGCAUGCCUAACACAUGCAAGUCGAACGAGACCUUCGGGUCUAGUGGCGCACGGGUGCGUAACGCGUGGGAACCUGCCUUUAGGUUCGGAAUAACUCAGAGAAAUUUGAGCUAAUACCGGAUGAUGUCUUCGGACCAAAGAUUUAUCGCCUUUAGAUGGGCCCGCGUAAGAUUAGCUAGUUGGUGGGUAAAGGCCUACCAAGGCGACGAUCUUUAGCUGGUCUGAGAGGAUGAUCAGCCACACUGGGACUGAGACACGGCCCAGACUCCUACGGAGGCAGCAGUGGGGAAUAUUGGACAAUGGGCGAAAGCCUGAUCCAGCAAUGCCGCGUGAGUGAUGAAGGCC